GCUGCUGCGCACGCCCUCCGCGGGGGGCUGACGUCGCCCCUUUCCUUCAUCUGACCGCAAAUGAUAAAGGGAGAGAAAUCACCCCGAGCGGGAUCCCUGAAAUUUGGAGAUCUCUUGUGCCCAUUCUCGCGGAGAGGAGCGAGUUUCCUCUGGGAUGGGAGAAAUCCAGAUAUACUGUGGCAUUCCUCCCACCUGCCAGUCUGGUAACCUGAUCUGAAGAUCCUGAGAUGAGCUCGGUUUGGCUUUAGAGCAUCCAAGUUGACGUAAACUCCGUGCAGUCUUUGCUAAGUGCCUACAGAUCUCACUUCACUUGAUCCUCAGCGUAUUCAUGUAAAAAUGUUCACAGCAGCUUUAUUUACAAUAGCUGAAGACUGAAAAUGACCCAUAUUUCAUCAACAA
Molecule: non-coding RNA, 399 nt
Organism: Delphinapterus leucas (beluga whale)
Lineage: Eukaryota; Metazoa; Chordata; Mammalia; Artiodactyla; Monodontidae
Source: RefSeq, a predicted model, not a curated record